AUUAUCUAUGAAGACGAAAUUUUUUGCCGGGCAGAAAAGAUCUGUGUUUGUUAUUGUUUUCGUCAGCGUGGUAGAUGCCGCGUGGAACUUACGUAGUAACUAACGUAAUAGGCUUUGUGGUAUUGUGAUUUCUAAGAGACGAAAAGCGGAACGCGAAAUUGUUGGACAGUCACUGAAGUAUAUAGCGAUGAAACUCGCCAAAAACAGGAAGAGAAAUGCAGCAAAACUGGAGAUACUGUGGGAAAUUCGCAUUUGCAAAAUAAGAUGCUGAAGUAGCAGAAACACAUCACAAAUCUAGUACCACGCCAGACCUACAGGAUUGUACAACCAGACGUUCUCUGCCACCACCCUAUAUUUUUUGGGAUGGUUACGGAGGAUAGGCCACGGUGUAUACCGAAGAUCAUUAUUUUAUAUUUUACCAUCUGUGCCAAAUUAAUGUUUCUGUUAAUAUAUUAAUGUUAUGGCACUGUCAAUAGUAGUAUCACAGAUACACUUUAAGAAAAUGAAACUGUUUACAUUGCGCUGUGAAAACCCACUGUCAUAUGAUGAUUAUCGAAAUGGAUGACAAUUGUAUAUCUUGUGUUGGAGUUACUGUUGCAAUGAAUGUGAUUUUUUUUGGAUGACAUGUUAAAAAC
Molecule: long non-coding RNA, 635 nt
Organism: Schistocerca piceifrons (Central American locust)
Lineage: Eukaryota; Metazoa; Arthropoda; Insecta; Orthoptera; Acrididae
Exons: 3
Source: RefSeq, a predicted model, not a curated record